RNAcentral lists this long non-coding RNA (3903 nucleotides) under Capsicum annuum. Its description in RNAcentral is "long non-coding RNA (CANN_LNC016949)". Lineage: Eukaryota; Viridiplantae; Streptophyta; Magnoliopsida; Solanales; Solanaceae. The record is from RNAcentral.
UGAUGAGUGCACCACCAAGCAGACUCGCAUAUCCUAUGCUUGAAUUCUAGUUGAGGUCAACAUUACUCAGCUAUUACCUGAUUCAGUCAUAGUGAGAGCCCCUGAUAGUCAUGUUUUUCAGCAGGUAGUCAUGUACGAUUGGAAGCCUGUGUUCUGCCAAAAAGGUCAGAUUAUUGGUCAUACAUGUCACAGAUAACCCCCACCAAUGCCCAGAUAAAAGAAAGAAAUACCCAAAAGAGUGAUCCAAACCUGGCAAUACAAUGUCUUAAUCGUGGAUCAAGACAAGAGGCCUAGAAUUUAGAGAAAAAUGAGCCAUAGACACUAGAGCAAGCCACUGUUAAGGGAGAAAAAUCAAUUAUAACACUGGAGCCUACAACCACCACAUCUUCACAGUCUACACAACUAGUAAAGUCCACACAACUAGUAAAGUCCAAUGAGACUAGCUUUCAACCAGUAACUAUUAAGAAAAGAGGUGUUGUUCCUAUUGAUAUUAUCUUGGAUAUGGGUAUGUCUUCUAUCUCCUUCGGGAACAGGUUUGCUAGUAUUUAGAGUGACAUAGGUGAGGCGAGUUUGGCCCUUCUUGAUAGAGGGAAAAUACAUAAUACCAUAUGAAACGGCUGUUUUGGAAUAUCAGGGGUAUGAAUAAAAGGUAUAAGCAAAAAGAAGUUAAAAAUUUGCUUAAGAAUAAAAAAGUUGAUUUAGUAGGAAUAGUAGAAACUAGAGUCAAGGCUCACAAAGCCACUCAAAUAAGUGCCCACAUUGCUUCUGUUUGGGGGAAAUUACACAAUUACAACUCUACUGAAAAUGGUAGAAUUUGGAUACUAUGGGAUACUCGACACUACUAUGUCUCUCUUUUGAAAGAAGAGAUGCAAUUAAUACAAUGUCAGGUCAGGAGCUUAGCUGAUGGGGAAGUCUGUUUAAUUACGGUAGUAUAUGGAUACAAUACUGCAUCUUUGAGACUGAUGCUAUGGGACCAAUUAUGAGAGAUAUCACAAGGUAACCAACAACCAAGGAUUAUCAGUGGUAACUUCGAAGCUCUAUUGUACCCUCGGGAUAGAUUUGCAGGGAAUCCAGUACAAUAUAGUGACUCGAAGGAUUUUACUAACACAUUCAUAGUUGUGCACUUUAUGAGAUAUCAUGGAAAGGAGACUAUUAUACUUGGUCAACAGAAAACUUGGAAAAGAUAGAAUCUGAGCAGAAUAGAUAGAACUUUGGGCAACAGUGUUUGGAUGCAACAAUGUGGGUCAUGUGAAGGUUGAAUAUGAGGUCCCUUAUGUCUCAGACCACUCUCCAGUGUUUAUUAAUCUUACAGGUAAUAACUGAACAUCAAAGUGUCACUUAAGUUUUUUAAUGUGUGGACAGAGCACAAAGAUUUCCUGCAAAAUAUUAUUGAACAUAACUGGCAAGGUAUAAAGAACCUCGACCCUGGAAAGAACUUAUGGAUGAAACUCAAAGCUCUAUAGACUAAUUUGAAAGCCGUCAAUAACCUAGAAUUUAAAGUCAUAGCUCAGAGGAUAGAAAAAUCUAGGACUGAUCUUCAUAUUAUACAGGAGAAUAUGUUGCAAUGUCAAUCAGAUACCCUGCAAGCUUACGAGAAAAUAACUCUUCAAACUCUUGAAAAAUGGUUUGAGGUAGAGGAAAGUAUUAUGAAGUAGAAUCCAAAGCACAAUGGAUUAAACCUGGAGACUUCAAUACAAAAUAUUUCUCAGCAGUUGUCAAAGACAGAACCCAGAGGAAGAAUAUUACUGAACUCACCAGCUUGGUUGGUGACUUACUAACUGGCCCUAAAGCUAUUAAAGAGGAAAUUAUCUCUUUAUAUAAGGGUCUAAUGGGUUCUACAGCUCUUUCCGUACCUCAGUUGAUAUCUCAAAUAUGCAGAAAGGUCCUAGACUGUAGCAGAAUCAAAAAAUACUACUGUGACUGAAGAAAAAAUUCUUAAAAGCCUAAAAACUAUGAAAGAUGAUAAAACCUGGAUUGGAUGGAUAAAAUGUUGUGUUCUUUAAUAAAACUUGGCAUUUUUUUAAGCACGAGGUCAUUUUCACUGUGAAGCAUUUCUUUGAUACUGAAAAACUUUUCAAGCCUCUUAAUUGUGCAAUAGUAACCCUGGUUUCAAAAAUCCAAGCUCCUACCACAGUUAAAGACUAUAGACCUAUUACAUUUUGCUCUAUUGUGUGUAAGUUGAUUUUUAAGAUAUAAUAAGUAGACUCCAGAAUGUCAUGCAACCCGUAUUAAUGAGGCUCAAUCUAGUUUUAUCCCUGGUAGAAGAAUAGGGGAUAGUAUUAUCAUGGCACAUGAACUUAUCAAAGGCUACAUCAGAAAGAACAUCUCCCCCAGAUGCGUGAUCUCCAAAAGGCAUAUGAUUCUGUUGAAUGGAUAUAUUUGCAUCAUAUUUUAGUGGUUCUGGGAUUUCCUGAUAAAUUUAUCACUUGGCUCAUGUGUACAAACUGUUUCUUAUAGUAUUAUGAUCAAUGGUGAACCUAGUGAACCUUUUCCAGCAGCUAAGGGAUUAAGACAAGGUGACCCCAUAUCACACUUCCUUAUUUGCUUUAGCAAUGGAAUACCUGAGCAAGACAUUAUCAUAGUUGAAGAUGGAUAAAGGCUUUCACUAUCAUCCUAGAUGUGCCAAGCUAGGUGUCGCGCCCUAUUUCGAACCGGUGGAGAUAGUCCACAACAUAGUUGUGGUCACUGUGACUCUUUGGUUUUGAAAAUCAUUUUUAUGUAAAAAAAAUCUAUUUUUGAUCUUUCAAAAAUAUUUGAGAUUCUAAGUAAAGGUUUCGGUUACUCGAGGGUAAGGUGUUAAGCACCCCUAAGGGCCUAUCCGAAGAUAGUCCUUAACUCAGUUUAGGAAGACAUUUGGAAAAAUAUUUACUUUUAUUAUUUACAAUAAUAGUGGUAACUACACAUAAUGUUUAUCAAAUUCUAAAGAAACACACAAGGUACAUAAACAUAUCCUUCCGAUAUACGAAAAAGUGACGUAAUUUAUUGUCAAAAUAUGCAUGCAAUGUUUCAAAAAAAUAUGAAAAUGCACAUCUAUAAACCCAUGUAUUCAAUACCAUACGAUUUUUCAGAAACAUAAAUUCUAAACAGAACCAAAGAUUCGUAGAAAUCAAAAGAAAAACGAAAGAAAAGGAGAUGAGAGUUGAAUUAGAAAGGGAAUCCGCACCUUUUCUGGGGCAGCAAUUGAGGCUUUCCGUCAAGAUUCCGGCCACCAAACUCUACACCGGAAACUCGAUUUUAACAUGAAAUUAAGAAGAAAGACCAAGAAUUAUUGUGAUCUCCUACAUAUUUCCAAAAUACCCAAGGCUGAGUUUUGAACGUUCUCCUCCUUUCUCGACCGAUCUGAAACUUUUAUAUCUUUUAAAACUCGUUUCUCCCCUUUGCCUCGAAUCUGACAAAACCUCCAUUUUUGGACCUCUACAAACACUCCCUCUUUUAGUGAUGGAAUUGAAGGUAUUUAUAGUUAAAUUAGAACUUCAAAAUUUGGAUUUGACACUUAAAUCUAUAGAAGCCAACGGAUAGAAAAAAGAUGGGGGGAUUCAAAUUCAAAAACAGGAAAGAGACAUCACAUAACCUAAAAUUUUGGACGAUCCUUGGACCUUUAGUGUGGAUUUGAAAUUGAUUUUCAAUUCUUGUACCGAUUUGGAACUGUUUUUCUAAUGUCCGUUGGUUUCACGGGUCGGAGGAGAUAAAAUUGAGGGAAAUCUUGACAAGUGAGGGCAGACGAUGGUCAGUUAUGGUGGUGGAUAGGGUUUCAUUUUCGGGGUUGUUGAGGAGAAGAAGAAGAACAAACAAGGGAGGGGUCAGUAGUCUUGCUGUGCAUUUUUGAAGAAUGGAUGGAGACUAGUCGAUGCUUCUCUGAUAAACAAGCAAAGACGCGUCUGUGCUGUACUUAUUGAAGACCAA